Long non-coding RNA from Hippocampus comes (tiger tail seahorse), 450 nucleotides. RefSeq lists it as uncharacterized. The transcript is spliced from 2 exons. Lineage: Eukaryota; Metazoa; Chordata; Actinopteri; Syngnathiformes; Syngnathidae. The record is from RefSeq and is a predicted model, not a curated record.
CUAUAAUUAGCCCAGAUGCUAGUCUUAAAACAGCGACAAAAAACAUCCGAGGUUGCAGCAUAUUAUAAAUUAACACACAUGUAUGCUAACGCUUUAGUUUCAUGGCUGUUUGCUUUGUUCGUUGUCACACGCGUAGCAUCUGGGCGCUAACAAUACAAACCAAAUGGUUCACUGCUUGGCUUCCUUGCAGCUUGCACGCACUAGAUGGGUUUGAUUUUGUUUGACUAAUUUAUACACCUAAUUUUCAAGGGAUUUGCUUUGGAUCAUAUCCCGAGGAGAAGAAAAAUCCUUAUUGUCGCAAGUUUCAGUGAAAAGAAUAAUCGCGCUGCUUUAAUUGCUGACUGCAACCGAGUUUAAUAUCAUCAAUCUUUCCCAUAGGAGCUGCUCGAACCAAGAAAACAUGGCCGGUGACCUUCUCUCAGGAGGAGAUGAAGAAACGUCUCACGCCCA